This 449-nucleotide ribosomal RNA is filed under the name uncultured bacterium. RNAcentral describes it as "bacterial SSU rRNA". It matches the Rfam family "Bacterial small subunit ribosomal RNA", at positions 335 to 799 of the family's 1533-position model. The record is from RNAcentral.
ACUCCUACGGGAGGCAGCAGUGGGGAAUAUUGGACAAUGGGCGCAAGCCUGAUCCAGCCAUGCCGCGUGAGUGAUGAAGGCCUUAGGGUUGUAAAGCUCUUUUGUCCGGGACGAUAAUGACGGUACCGGAAGAAUAAGCCCCGGCUAACUUCGUGCCAGCAGCCGCGGUAAUACGAAGGGGGCUAGCGUUGCUCGGAAUCACUGGGGCGUAAAGGGCGCGUAGGCGGCCUUGUAAGUUGGGGGUGAAAGCCCGUGGCUCAACCACGGAAUUGCCUUCGAUACUGCUUGGCUUGAGUGUGGUAGAGGUUGGUGGAACUGCGAGUGUAGAGGUGAAAUUCGUAGAUAUUCGCAAGAACACCGGUGGCGAAGGCGGCCAACUGGACCAUCACUGACGCUGAGGCGCGAAAGCGUGGGGAGCAAACAGGAUUAGAUACCCUGGUAGGAUAGCG